AGUCGGCGGCCGGACUGGGAAGAUGGACGCAGCUACUCUGACCUACGACACUCUCCGGUUUGCCGAGUUUGAAGAUUUUCCUGAGACCUCAGAGCCCGUUUGGAUACUGGGUAGAAAAUACAGCAUUUUCACAGAAAAGGACGAGAUCUUGUCUGAUGUGGCAUCUAGACUUUGGUUUACAUACAGGAAAAACUUUCCAGCCAUUGCCAUUCAUCGUUGUAUACCCUGGAGCUGGAAGGAGAUGGGGACUGGUUCUCAGCCUUGCUUCUCACCGGCGGAGAACUGAGGCCGGAGGGGGGACAGGCCCCACCUCGGACACAGGCUGGGGCUGCAUGCUGCGGUGUGGACAGAUGAUCUUUGCCCAAGCCCUGGUGUGCCGGCACCUAGGCCGAGAUUGGAGGUGGACACAAAGGAAGAGGCAGCCAGACAGCUACUUCAGCGUCCUCAACGCAUUCAUCGACAGGAAGGACAGUUACUACUCCAUUCACCAGAUAGGUGGGAGGCUGCAGAUUGUGCCAGGCCCCACCCGGGCUGUUUGGAGAGGGUGGAGUGG
RNAcentral lists this small RNA (553 nucleotides) under Pongo abelii (Sumatran orangutan). RNAcentral describes it as "retained intron". Lineage: Eukaryota; Metazoa; Chordata; Mammalia; Primates; Hominidae. The record is from RNAcentral.